GACGAACGCUGGCGGCGUGCUUAACACAUGCAAGUCGAACGGUGACCCAGGGCUUGCCCUGGUGAUCAGUGGCGAACGGGUGAGUAACACGUGGGCAACCUGCCCCUGACUUCGGGAUAACUCCUCGAAAGAGGAGCUAAUACCGGAUACGACCACUUCGGACAUCCGAUGGUGGUGGAAAGUUUUCGGUCAGGGAUGGGCCCGCGGCCUAUCAGCUAGUUGGUGGGGUAAUGGCCUACCAAGGCGACGACGGGUAGCCGGCCUGAGAGGGCGACCGGCCACACUGGGACUGAGACACGGCCCAGACUCCUACGGGAGGCAGCAGUGGGGAAUAUUGCGCAAUGGGCGAAAGCCUGACGCAGCGACGCCGCGUGAGGGAUGAAGGCCUCGGUUGUAACUACUUUCUAGCAGGGACGAAGCGAAAGUGACGGUACCUGCAGAAGAAGCACCGGCUAACUACGUGCCAGCAGCCGCGGUAAU
Molecule: ribosomal RNA, 480 nt
Filed under: uncultured bacterium
Lineage: Bacteria
Description: bacterial SSU rRNA
Rfam family: Bacterial small subunit ribosomal RNA
Source: RNAcentral